Molecule: unclassified non-coding RNA, 19 nt
Filed under: Mus musculus (house mouse)
Lineage: Eukaryota; Metazoa; Chordata; Mammalia; Rodentia; Muridae
Description: oocyte_clustered_small_RNA182
Source: RNAcentral
AUCUGACGGCCCCAGCACA